GACGAACGCUGGCGGCGUGCCUAAUACAUGCAAGUUGAGCGCUGAAGGUUGGUACUUGUACCAACUGGAUGAGCAGCGCACGGGUGAGUAACGCGUGGGGAAUCUGCCUUUGAGCGGGGGACAACAUUUGGAAACGAAUGCUAAUACCGCAUAAAAACUUUAAACACAAGUUUUAAGUUUGAAAGAUGCAAUUGCAUCACUCAAAGAUGAUCCCGCGUUGUAUUAGCUAGUUGGUGAGGUAAAGGCUCACCAAGGCGAUGAUACAUAGCCGACCUGAGAGGGUGAUCGGCCACAUUGGGACUGAGACACGGCCCAAACUCCUACGGGAGGCAGCAGUAGGGAAUCUUCGGCAAGGGACGAAAGUCUGACCGAGCAACGCCGCGUGAGUGAAGAAGGUUGUCGGAUCGUAAAACUCUGUUGGUAGAGAAGAACGUUGGUGAGAGUGGAAAGCUCAUCAAGUGACGGUAACUACCCAGAAAGGGACGGCUAACUACGUG
This 497-nucleotide ribosomal RNA is filed under the name uncultured bacterium. Its description in RNAcentral is "partial 16S ribosomal RNA". It matches the Rfam family "Bacterial small subunit ribosomal RNA", at positions 28 to 507 of the family's 1533-position model. The record is from RNAcentral.